This is a non-coding RNA of Delphinapterus leucas (beluga whale), 464 nucleotides long. The record is from RefSeq and is a predicted model, not a curated record. NCBI's taxonomy places the organism in Eukaryota, Metazoa, Chordata, Mammalia, Artiodactyla, Monodontidae.
CGCACCACCCCCUGAGCAGAAGAACUGGUCCACCAGCGUCUCGGCGCCCAGCGGGCAAGUGGCCAGAUGGUCUGGCCAAGUGAGCAGAGAUUUUGCUUUCCUGUCCUUUCUUCAUUGCAUACAUCCCCAAUACCAAGAGAAGUACUAUAUUUAGAGAAGCUUCUGCUUUUAAGUUCUAGAAAUUUAGACUCGGCCUCGGCCUCCACCACUGAUAUACUAUGAAAAUUAAAUGCAUCAUUUCAUGUAAAGGAUUUAGAACAGCACAUGGCACAUAGCAUGCGGGAUCCCAGCUCCCCAACCAGGGAUUGAACCCUCACCCCCUGCAUUGGAAGGCGAAGUCUUAACCACUGGACCGCCGGGGAAGUCCCCAGCCAGUCAUUCUUAUGCAGAUUCUCAUGGGGAGAAGAAAAUGAGUGGUUAAAUGGCAGAAGUGCAACUAUAUUUGGAGUGAGAAGUAACAAAGG